RNAcentral lists this unclassified non-coding RNA (253 nucleotides) under uncultured bacterium. RNAcentral describes it as "contains 16S-23S intergenic spacer region". It matches the Rfam family "Bacterial small subunit ribosomal RNA", at positions 524 to 776 of the family's 1533-position model. The record is from RNAcentral.
UACAGAGGGUGCAAGCGUUGUUCGGAAUUACUGGGCGUAAAGCGUGCGUAGGUUGUAUCGAGAGUCAUAGGUGAAAUCCCUGGGCUUAACCCAGGAACUGCCUGUGAGACCUCGGUACUAGAGUACGGAAGGGGCCGGUGGAAUUCCAUGUGUAGCGGUGAAAUGCGUAGAUAUAUGGAGGAACACCAGUGGCGAAGGCGGCCGGCUGGUCCGAGACUGACACUGAGGCACGAAAGCGUGGGGAGCAAACAGG